CGCGCCGGUGGAUGAGCCUACGUCGGAUUAGCUAGUUGGUAGGGUAAGAGCCUACCAAGGCGACGAUCCGUAGCUGGUCUGAGAGGAUGAUCAGCCACACUGGGACUGAGACACGGCCCAGACUCCUACGGGAGGCAGCAGUGGGGAAUAUUGGACAAUGGGCGCAAGCCUGAUCCAGCAAUGCCGCGUGUGUGAAGAAGGCCUGCGGGUUGUAAAGCACUUUAAGCAGGGAGGAGGGGUACUGGCGUGAAUAGCGUUGGUAUCUGACGUUACCUGCAGAAUAAGCACCGGCUAACUUCGUGCCAGCAGCCGCGGUAAUACGAAGGGUGCAAGCGUUAAUCGGAAUACUGGGCGUAAAGCGCGUGUAGGCGGUUAUUUAAGUCAGAUGUGAAAGCCCCCGGGCUCAACCUGGGAAUGGCAUUUGAUAC
RNAcentral lists this ribosomal RNA (428 nucleotides) under uncultured bacterium. RNAcentral's name for it is "bacterial SSU rRNA". It matches the Rfam family "Bacterial small subunit ribosomal RNA", at positions 214 to 633 of the family's 1533-position model. The record is from RNAcentral.